CCCCAAAUAAUUGUAGCUCAGAAACAAUAUUGAAGUUCAUUGGUAAAAUUGGUAAAAUUUUGAAAUGUUGAUGUUUUUUGUGUUGAUUGUGCUCAUUUUGACCUAUGUUACUAUUGCUUUCUACCAUGUUCAAUUCACCAUUGUUCUGCACAUACGUGCUUGCAUGUGUCCAGUGGUUAUAUUCAUGAGGCAUUCAAGGGACUUGUACUAAAAGAUACAACUCAGUUCACUAUGAAUUGCAUAUUUUAAUGGCUGAAAAUAUAUCUGAUCUCUUUCAGAACAUCACCUGUCUGUAAUCCACCUGCGUAAGUUCUGGUCAAGGGGUCAUCGGCUAUCAAGUUAUAGAUUUCAGUGGCUAAUAGAAGACACUGCUGAGGUCAGACGAGAGUGCAUCCUCAAAUGUCUGUGUGUACCUAAAUGAAGAUCCAGAGAAGCUGGUGAGGGAGUACAUGGACGUUGAUGAAUGAAAUGGCCAAAGCCGAGACUGUCCUCGGAAUCGUCAUUUGAGCAGAGGCUGCCGAUGCACAUCUGGAUGUUGGGAUUGUCCUGGAGGAGGUGGAAGUUAUGAACAGCUUGGGCAGUGUAUCUUCUGCAAUAGUGAUGCUGCUGGGACUAAUCUACGCACUAAACUUGAGCUACCCUCAAGUUUAGUGCGUUCAGCACUCAACUUGCUCAGUAACUCAAGCAUACCUUUGAAGUAAUACAGGAAAUAAUAAUGAAAUUGGAUGGAAAGAACUUAUCAAAGAAAGCACAAGUUCUCAAUAUGAAACUCGCUGCUAAGUUGAGUAAAGUUUCAUAUGGAAAAUGAGUGUUUAAAGUCUGCAGUAGAAAAGAUUUAUAUUGUUACAGUUCUCUAAGUUGAGCAACUAUACUGACAUGUUUUAUGUUGUAAAGAAUUGGCUGGGAAAUGAAACUGUAACCUUUUUGUAGUGUUUUUUUUAUUUCAAUGUCCAACUCAGCUGUGUUUUGUGCUGUGUAAAAAAACGAUGUAUAACAAUUCUGAAAAUACAAUUGUGUUGUACCUUU
Molecule: long non-coding RNA, 1026 nt
Organism: Poeciliopsis prolifica (blackstripe livebearer)
Lineage: Eukaryota; Metazoa; Chordata; Actinopteri; Cyprinodontiformes; Poeciliidae
Exons: 3
Source: RefSeq, a predicted model, not a curated record